AGAGUUUGAUCAUGGCUCANAACGAACGUUGGCGGCGUGGUUGAGGCAUGCAAGUCGCACGAGAACGGGGUAGCAAUACUCCUAGUAAAGUGGCGGAAGGGUGAGUAAUGGGUAGAUAACGUACCUUUGAGAUGGGCAUAACGGCUCGAAAGAGCCGCUAAUUCCCGGUAAGACCACGGUGGGGCAUCCCACAGGGGUCAUAGGCGGGGGAUCUUCGGACCUCGCGCUCAAAGAUCGGUCUAUUCCCUACCAGCUAGUUGGUAAGGUAACGGCUUACCAAGGCUACGAUGUCUAGGGGUUCUGAGAGGAAGGUCCCCCACACUGGUACUGAGACACGGACCAGACUCCUACGGGAGGCAGCAGUGAGGAAUAUUGGUCAAUGGGCGAGAGCCUGAACCAGCCAUCCCGCGUGCAGGAAGAAGGCCCUAUGGGUUGUAAACUGCUUUUACGCAAGAAGAAUGGUACCCUCGUGAGGGUAUUUGACGGUACUGCGUGAAUAAGCACCGGCUAACUCCGUGCCAGCAGCCGCGGUAAUACGGAGGGUGCAAGCGUUAUCCGGAUUUAUUGGGUUUAAAGGGUGCGUANGCGGUAUUAUAAGUCAGUGGUGAAAUCCUGCAGCUUAACUGUAGCAUUGCCAUUGAAACUGCAGUACUUGAGUUAUCUUGAAGUAGGCGGAAUGUGUAGUGUAGCGGUGAAAUGCUUAGAUAUUACACAGAACACCGAUUGCGAAGGCAGCUUACUAAGGGUACACUGACGCUGANGCACGAAAGCGUGGGGAUCGAACAGGAUUAGA
Molecule: ribosomal RNA, 793 nt
Filed under: uncultured Nitrosovibrio sp.
Lineage: Bacteria; Pseudomonadati; Pseudomonadota; Betaproteobacteria; Nitrosomonadales; Nitrosomonadaceae
Description: bacterial SSU rRNA
Rfam family: Bacterial small subunit ribosomal RNA
Source: RNAcentral